Small nuclear RNA from Lactuca sativa (garden lettuce), 119 nucleotides. RefSeq annotates it as U5 spliceosomal RNA. The record is from RefSeq and is a predicted model, not a curated record. Lineage: Eukaryota; Viridiplantae; Streptophyta; Magnoliopsida; Asterales; Asteraceae.
CAGCCAAGCAAUGAGCACAAAGCAAACUAUUCUUUCGCCUUUUACUAAAGAAUACAGUGUGCUCGCCAUAUAUAGUUGCAUACCUUUUUUUGGAAAGUCUCUUUCCUUUGUUGGAGGGC